RNAcentral lists this unclassified non-coding RNA (259 nucleotides) under Glomeromycota sp. RNAcentral's name for it is "partial contains 5.8S ribosomal RNA and internal transcribed spacer 2". The stretch from base 1 to 71 matches the Rfam family "5.8S ribosomal RNA", at positions 84 to 154 of the family's 154-position model. The record is from RNAcentral. Lineage: Eukaryota; Fungi; Glomeromycota.
GUGAAUCAUCAAAUUUUUGAACGCAAAUUGCACUCUCUGGCAUUCCGGAGAGUAUGCCUGUUUGAGGGUCGGUUUAAAUUAAAAUCGUUGUUUUGCUUUGUUGUUACCCAUCGGAUUUGGGCUAUCUUUCACCUUUUAAAAGUUGUAAGUGACCUAAAAUUUAUACCUUGUGCAUCUCAGACGCACAUAAGAAUAUUUUUUUAUCCGUCCGGAGUGGCCAACUUUUAUUAGUUAUGACCAUGUUGUGUGUGGCUUCGUA